GGGUUGUGAGGUUAAGCGACUAAGCGUACACGGUGGAUGCCCUGGCAGUCAGAGGCGAUGAAGGACGUGCUAAUCUGCGAAAAGCUCGGUAAGGUGAUAU
Molecule: ribosomal RNA, 100 nt
Filed under: Klebsiella aerogenes
Lineage: Bacteria; Pseudomonadati; Pseudomonadota; Gammaproteobacteria; Enterobacterales; Enterobacteriaceae
Description: partial 23S ribosomal RNA
Rfam family: Bacterial large subunit ribosomal RNA
Source: RNAcentral